Molecule: ribosomal RNA, 111 nt
Filed under: uncultured archaeon
Lineage: Archaea
Description: partial 16S ribosomal RNA
Source: RNAcentral
GCCUCUGGGGAUCUGCCGCGCGAGCUGCUCGCGUAUUGCGAAAGCACGACUAGGAGAAUCCUAAGGGGGCUCCCAUCUAAAGCUGUGCUGAUCGACGUUACUAGAUACUAU